This is a long non-coding RNA of Salvia miltiorrhiza (redroot sage), 747 nucleotides long. RefSeq lists it as uncharacterized. The record is from RefSeq and is a predicted model, not a curated record. NCBI's taxonomy places the organism in Eukaryota, Viridiplantae, Streptophyta, Magnoliopsida, Lamiales, Lamiaceae. The transcript has 2 exons.
UAUAAAUAUGACAUAAAAUUUGAUGAGGACAAAUUUACGUUGCCUAGGCUCUGAGUUUCAAGCUAUAGAAUAAAAACGAAAUUGACCCAAUGUGUCAAUUAACGCAAAUUAUUGUGUGCAUACCAUGCGACGGGUUUACCCGACCCAUAUAGAGAUCCAACCCGGCCCGCACUCUUCCCCACCCUGAACUUUAAUUUUCGGUGCACUCUCUUUUCUCUCUCUUUUUUCCUUUUCUCCCUCAAACGGUCAAACCUUUCUCUUUUCCUCUCUCCCCUCGACUCCUUCCACGCCGCCAUGUCCACCUGCACUUCUACCGCUUUUUCCGUCUGCCGCCGCCUAUCCCCACACCCUCCCUUCUAUCUCUCGCCGUCUCUCCAAGAAACCGUGGUACCAUUGAAUCCCGAUCUGAGGUAGAGAAGGUCAGCCUCGCCCCCACUCCAACGAUUAAUUGCGAUCUGAGGUAGAGUUUGGCAUGAGGUGCCUAUUCUUGUUAUUCUGGUUCGCGUGCAAGCAGUUCUGGCCAAUUUUUAGUGGGGACUGUGGUUUUACUUUUGAGUUAGGAGAGGAGUUGUUAUAUAUGUGUUUAGAUAUUUAAUUGUGAUAUAUAUGAUGUAUACUUAGCUUAAACAAGAAUGUGAAAAUGACGAAUUUUGUAUUAAUGUACAGAGGGAGUCGGAUCAUUUUGCUCAAUUUGUUAACUUUUUCUCAUGAUUUUUGUUGAAUUGGAGCAUGGUUGUUUCCUGCUUC